UCAGUCGACUCCUACGGGGAGGCAGCAGUAGGGAAUCUUCCACAAUGGGCGAAAGCCUGAUGGAGCAAUGCCGCGUGAGUGAAGAAGGUUUUCGGAUCGUAAAACUCUGUUGUUGAAGAAGAACAUGCGUGAGAGUAACUGUUCACGUACUGACGGUAUUCAACCAGAAAGCCACGGCUAACUACGUGCCAGCAGCCGCGGUAAUACGUAGGUGGCAAGCGUUGUCCGGACUUAUUGGGCGUAAAGAGAAUGUAGGCGGUUUAUUAAGUUUGAAGUGAAAGCCCUCGGCUCAACCGAGGAAGUGCUUCGAAAACUAGGUAAACUUGAGUGCAGAAGAGGAAAGUGGAACUCCAUGUGUAGCGGUGGAAUGCGUAGAUAUAUGGAAGAACACCAGUGGCGAAGGCGGCUUUCUGGUCUGUAACUGACGCUGAGAUUCGAAAGCAUGGGUAGCAAACAGGAUUAGAUACCCUGGUAG
Molecule: ribosomal RNA, 475 nt
Filed under: uncultured bacterium
Lineage: Bacteria
Description: bacterial SSU rRNA
Rfam family: Bacterial small subunit ribosomal RNA
Source: RNAcentral